Molecule: ribosomal RNA, 253 nt
Filed under: uncultured bacterium
Lineage: Bacteria
Description: partial 16S ribosomal RNA
Rfam family: Bacterial small subunit ribosomal RNA
Source: RNAcentral
UACAGAGGGUGCGAGCGUUAAUCGGAAUUACUGGGCGUAAAGCGUGCGUAGACGGUAGCGUAAGUCAGAUGUGAAAGCCCCGGGCUCAACCUGGGAAUUGCAUUUGGGACUGCUCUGCUCGGGUGCGGAAGAGGGAAGCGGAAUUUCCGGUGUAGCGGUGAAAUGCGUAGAUAUCGGAAGGAACACCAGUGGCGAAAGCGGCUUCCUGGUCCGACACCGACGUUCAGGCACGAAAGCGUGGGGAGCAAACAGG